UUAAGUUCAGCGGGUGGUCCUACCUGAUUUGAGGUCAAAGAGCAAAGGGGCCUUCUCUCCUAUGGCAGCUCAGAGCCCUGGUCAGAUGCAGAUAUGUUAUCACACCUAGAGCAGAGGUCACACAAAACCGCUCAUGCAUUUCAGGGGAGCAGGACCACACAAGUCCCUGCACUGUCCCCCCAAGUCCAAGCCACACACAC
Molecule: unclassified non-coding RNA, 200 nt
Filed under: Inocybe sp.
Lineage: Eukaryota; Fungi; Basidiomycota; Agaricomycetes; Agaricales; Inocybaceae
Description: partial internal transcribed spacer 2
Source: RNAcentral